This 492-nucleotide ribosomal RNA is filed under the name uncultured bacterium. RNAcentral's name for it is "partial 16S ribosomal RNA". It matches the Rfam family "Bacterial small subunit ribosomal RNA", at positions 30 to 507 of the family's 1533-position model. The record is from RNAcentral.
AUUGAACGCUGGCGGCAUGCUUUACACAUGCAAGUCGAACGGUAACAGGCCUUCGGGUGCUGACGAGUGGCGAACGGGUGAGUAAUGCAUCGGAACGUGCCCAGAGGUGGGGGAUAACGCAGCGAAAGCUGUGCUAAUACCGCAUGUGAUCUGAGGAUGAAAGCGGGGGACCAAGCAGCAAUGUUUGGCCUCGCGCCUCUGGAGCGGCCGAUGUCAGAUUAGGUAGUUGGUGGGGUAAAGGCCUACCAAGCCGACGAUCUGUAGCUGGUCUGAGAGGACGACCAGCCACACUGGGACUGAGACACGGCCCAGACUCCUACGGGAGGCAGCAGUGAGGAAUUUUGGACAAUGGGCGCAAGCCUGAUCCAGCAAUGCCGCGUGCGGGAAGAAGGCCUUCGGGUUGUAAACCGCUUUUGUACGGAACGAAAAGGCUCUGGCUAAUACCUGGGGCUGAUGACGGUACCGUAAGAAUAAGCACCGGCUAACUACGUG